GACUAUGUUAAUCAGAGAUUUUGUUUUCUUGUUUUAAAGUCACAACCUUAUACUUCAAUAUUGCAAAAACGACUUCCUAAUACAAAGACUUUAUAGUCUUGCACUACAAACAAUUUUUUCUGUUAUUAUUUAAGAAAAUGUGAAGAACUCAGUCCAUUCAUGUUUUGUAUCUUAAGUAAUCAUCCACAAUACAUAAAAUUCAUAGUUAUUAGAGAAUCGGCUUCAUAAUAUACAGGGUUGGAGAUGCUUUGGCAAUAAUGACAACUUAUCCAUUAGCUCUUAUAAAUUAUAUUUAUAAAUUUAUAAUUUAGCUCUUAUAAAAAAUAAAUGGCAGGAAAACCUGGAGAUCAAGAAGGUUUCAGAGGGGUGAUUCAAAUAAAGGAAUGGUUUUGAGUUUACUCAGGUACUCCUGUAUGUACAUCCAUAUAUAAAAUUCAGACUAAAACCAUAAAUGAAAAAGAAGUCUCAAUAUAGGAAGAAGGGAAAAGAGGUGAUGUGGUUAUCUUAGCAUAUUUUUAAAUGCUGAAUUAUAAAACCAUAGUAAAUCAUUAAAUUGGUUCUUGCUUAAAUCUAUCUGUAAGCUCUAUAGAAGUUCUAUAGAAAAAUACUACUAUGGAUUCUAAAGUGAAUUUAAUGAUUUAAUAAGAGUAGGGCCAAGGGGGCUAAAGGCUCAAAUAUUCUGAGUAUUUUUAAGCGCUCUAGACAAAAAAGUUUCAAUUGGUUCUCUAUGCUAAAAAGAGGAAUAACUCAGCCCACAGACAAGUAAGAUUUUUACACCAACAGAAAGAUAAUCUACCCUAGUUAUCCAGUACAUAUCAUAAGUAUAUUUAAGCUUGUCAUAUUUUCAAGGGUAGUUUGUGUUUUUACAUUCCUGAAAAUAAUCUAAAAAUAUGUUGGGGGGAUAAUUUAAGCUUUCAAAUAUGUCUUUGUAAUUUGCCAUUGUGUAUUUAAAAUGAAAAACUGGGAUCCCUGGGUGGCGCAGAGGUUUGGUGCCUGCCUUUGGCCCAGGGCGCAAUCCCAGAGACCCGGGAUCAAAUCCCACAUCGGGCUCCCGGUGCAUGGAGCCUGCUUCUCCCUCUGCCUGUGUCUCUGCCCCUCUCUCUCUCUCUCUCUGUGACUAUCAUAAAUAAAAAAAAAAUUUUUUUUAAAAUGAAAAACUGGAAGCAACAAAUAUUUUGCAUGUCACAUCCAAGUUUUCCCCCAAAAUAAUAAAGUGUGACACUGAGAAAUUCCAGUAACUUUUCUUCUAUAAAUCUAUGUAUUUUGUAUAAUAUUUUUAGGUUUUGUUUUAUUUUUAUGCUAGAAACUACUCUUUUGUUAUAUGGCAUUCAGUCUGUCAGGAUAUCCCUAUGUACACAGAUGCUUCAUAAAUAUUAGAAAAUCAAAGACAAACAUAGCUAGAUGGCCAUAUAUACUAAAUUUGAAGGAACAUCAUGCAAAGUGUAUAUAUCGUUAUUAUUUGGGGUUUCUACAAACUAUAGCUAAGCAUGAAUAUUUUCAACUUAAAAUCUUUGUAUGCAACUUAUUAAAUAUGGCAUUCUUUAGCUACUAAAAUCACAUAACCAUAAUCAACAGGAUAGUGGUGACAACACAAGUUUUAAGAAGAGACAUGGACUGUGUCAAGGUAGAUUUUGUCCUCCAUCUUUUAUUUUCUAACAAAGAUGACCAUUAUAACAAAGGAAAAUGUGUUGAAUGAAAAAAAAAGUAUAGAUUUCAGGUCAAAAAUCCCCAAAUUUAGAUCCUAAUGUUUAAUCUCUUUUGAAUCACAAUUUAUUGAAUUUGUUUUUUUAGCUCUAACUUAAUUACACAAUGUGAUUUUUUUCACCUGUUUAAAUUUACUUCUCCUGAAAGGAUAAAGCCAACAAAGGAAAAGGCUUUCCAAACAUACAGAGUUCCAGGAGAGAAAGUAGUGGGUAGAUUUGAAUUGAGGGUUAAGGCUCAAAGAAUAAGUUAAAAAUAUCAUUCAAUCAAAACUACUUUUAUUCAUGACGAGGUACUAUGUUGGGGACAGACAUACUUUACCUUCUUUCAACAGUCCCAAUAGAGACAGAUUUCUCCAUUUGUUUUAUUUUCCUUAGGACUGGAAUAGAUCACUGUUUCUUCACAGAGUACUAUAUCUAGGUAACUUUUGAUGUGCAUUUAAGGGGCACAGUGUAUAAAAUUACUUAUAUGUAAACUUUAGAAUCACACUGGGCAUGGCAAGAUGUUCACAUGAAAGAAGCACAGGGGAUUUAGUAGAACAGAAUCUCACUCCUCAUCUCAGCCUGACUUUAGCAAAUAAGAUCACUAAAGAACUGGAAGGUAGAAAUGACUCUCUGUUCUUUAUUCUUUACCUUUUCUCUCCAUCUCUUUCUUUCCUUGUUCCUUUAUUAACUGGAGAGAGUAAAUUUGAAAAGAUAAAUUUGAAUUUAAUGCACAUCAUUAAGGUUACUUUUAUUGGGUCUGCGAGGUAGUGGAAAACACAGUAAGAAUAGAUAUGAGAAAGGUAAAUUGGGGACAGAUCAUAAACACUGAAUAUCAAGAUUGGACUCUAUUUUAUAGAUAAUGGGGAAUAUUUUUAUCCACAUGAGAGACUAAACAGAGCUGUGUUUCAGUACGGUGAAUCUUUAGAAUCAAAUGAGGAAGUAUAGAUGAAAGAAAAUGCCAGACUGAACCAAGCUUGACAUUGAGGAGGAAAAAAGACAUGAUGGAUAUAUUGUUACCUAUACUUAAAACAACUGUUUUAAAUCCCCAGAAGUCUUUUCUCCAUCAUAAAAUAAUAAUAUUAAACUAAAUAACUACUGUAGCAUCUCUCCAAAUUGAGUAUUUAGAAAUGUGCUUAAGUCACAAGGUGAAAAACAUACAAUAUACUAAACAUUGUAUUAUAACUUCCUUAUCCCCAAAGGAUAAAUGGUUUGAAAAAUGUCUACAGUACAAAGUUAAAUUGCACCAUUAUUCAUAGAGUAUUUUGUGGGCUAUGAAAAUAAUGUAUUUGAGGAAGAUCAACACACUCACAAAAAUACACACACAGAGAAGUUACAAGACUUGUUAUUGUCAUGGCAAUGGCCUAGAUUCACUACGGAAUUGUCUCUCUUAAAAAUAGUAACAAUAGAAUUUUCUUCUUUAACUUUGUUGAAAUAACUAAUAGGUCCCUUCAAUUACCAGGAAACCAAGAUUCAUAGGAUCAGAUUUUGCAUAAUUUUUCUUUUUAUCUGCAGCUUCCAAAACAAAAUGUAAUACACUAUCUAUUGAUUUGGUUUAGUUCUUAAGCAAGGCCUGAAUUAUAACUACUUAACCGUUCUCCAAGGAUUCAGCCAGAUUAAGAGAGAUCCAAGAGUGGCUAUGUUGUCAAAAAGUGCUAGACGGUUCUUUUGAAAUAAUCUAACUCAGGCUAACAUUUAAGAGUUUUGAAAAUGGAAAUUCUAUCAUCAUCACUCAAAGAUUCCAGUAACAGCCCUUCCCCAUCUGACAUGCCAGCACUUAGUGGUCCCUGAAAAUAGAAAGAAGAGAAACAAAAUAGAAUAAAGAGAACAAGUGCAGUAACUAUGAUGAUAUUAUCAUGGAACUUUCCAAUGUAUUGGCCUGCUAUUUAUUGGACACUGUACUAGGCUCUUUAUAAAUAUCUUGACAACCACCAGAGAGAAUUAUUUCCAUUUUAUAGAAGAUGGUUCAGCAGAUCAAAAAGCUCAAGUUAUAAUGCUAGGUGGGGUUACAGCACUGGAGUUCAAAUCCAGGACUGUCUGAUUUCCAAACUUAAUUUAGUUGAAUUCUGCAAUGUUCUCCACACAACACAAGGUUAAGGAGUAACACUGAAAUAUUAUAGCAUCACAUCUAAGCAAAGCUCCGGCUCUUAGAUGGCUAGAACGUAAAGUUGCCUAGUCUGUUAUAAAUAUUCCAUUCAUCAGUGAUCAUUAAGAAGCGAUCAUAUAACUGGAAAUAUGCAAUAC
Molecule: long non-coding RNA, 3926 nt
Filed under: Canis lupus familiaris (dog)
Lineage: Eukaryota; Metazoa; Chordata; Mammalia; Carnivora; Canidae
Description: lncRNA (ENSCAFG00845012934.1)
Source: RNAcentral